CAGCUGUACUACAUGAAUUGGCUGGGAGGUGGAUGUUUACUUCAACUGACUUGGAAUAUCAGCCGUUAACCUAGAGUAGAGGAUUUGGCAAGAAUAGUAUGCAGAGGCUUGAUUUUUAAUGUAAUUACUGUAAAUUUAAAUUACUGUCAUAUCUUUUCACUUGUUUUAUUGUAUCUCUAACAUGGCAUGAGACUCUGAGUAUUGGGACAAAAGAAUGUCCUUUGUUGAGUGGGGUCAGAUUCGUAGGCAUUGCAGUGUGCUUUGACGUCAUACAUUUGUACCUGUCUGGGCUCUACCAGUGAAUUCACUAUGUGAUUUGGAGGAGGGAAAGCCACUGUUUCACACCUCGGUGCUUUUCUCAUCUGCAAAAUAGGUAUGGUAUGCACUUGACAGGAUUGUUGUAAUGAUUGACCUAGACGAUGAAUGUAAAGUGGGUCAUUAGUCAGUGCUUGUCACAUUGAGUACUCAGUAAAUGCUGAAACACUAACUGUUAUUAAUGCUCGCCACAAUGCCUCAUCAUAGUAUGUAGCAUAUUUUAGGUGUUCAAUAAAUAACUGCUGUGACUUUUAAACUGGACAUAAGUUGUUUUUAUUUUAGCCACCAAUUUUCUGGCUUAAUGGAAAUGGUUUGAAUCUUUGAUAUCACUGUAAUUCAGUGGCAAAGAAUUUUGAAGCCCAGCUUCUUGAACUCACGUCCUUACCAAGCCACUUACUAGCUUCGUUACUUUAGGGAAGUUAUUACACUCCCAGUGCCUUAGUUUCCUCAGUCUUCUAAACUGGGAUAUAACAGUACCUACCUAAUAAGAUUGUUAGGAGAUAAAAUGAGCCAAUACCAGUCAAGUAUUGGAACAGUUCCUGGUACACACUAAGCUCUUGAUAAAUGGCAGCUAUUGUUGUUAUUAUUUUAAAAACAUGUUCGUCACGUGUUAUUUUUUCCCAGGGUAUAGUUGUGCCAUACAUUUCAAAAUAAAGAGAAGCUCACACUUGAUAAUUAGUUCUAGAUAUGUACUGUUUGGUUUAAAUGAUGCUUUCAUAUUUCAUGCUUUUAUUGAGAAUACUCUACUUAAAAUUAAUUUUCUGUCACUUUGUUUUUCAAGUCCAUGAGAUCAACUUUAAGUUUUCAUUUUUUUGGUGACACGUUCGCGUUCUGUAUAGGUGAAAAACAGAACCACCACCACAAAACCAAAAUUACUUAAGAAGUACACUUUAUUCUAGCAGCUUGGCAAGUGUCCCUAAACUCGUCUAUGCCUGAAUCCAGAAGUAGAAUUCACAUUCGAUGCGUCUCCUAUGGAAGAUGUCUACGUGUUAUGAGAAAUUCACGAUUAAAUAAAAAUGUGUAAUAAAGGCCUGGAGACUUGUUCUUAAAAAAGGUGCUGUCUUUCUAGUUGUAUUUUGUUUGAUCAAUAAAGUAAUUUUUGUUUUUUUGUAAUUAUAAUUUUUAUGGAUUAGCUUUUCAUUAUUUGUUAAGUGGAGCUGUUCUAUUGGAUGCAAAAUGUAUAUUUCAGUUCCACAUAUUCAUUUGAAACUGGUCAAAUGCUUAAAUUAUUUUAUAAUUUAUAAUACUUCAAGAAAAAUAUUGCAAUGUAUUAUAGAACUGUCAUUAUUUAGAGGUAGUUUUAUGAAAUGUAUUUGUCAAAUUAACAUAUUUGGAAGUUUCCCAUCAAUUUACCUUUGAACCUCAGUGAAUAAAAUACAGAAUUUUUCUUUUAUAUUCUCCAGUAUGAAAAAAAUAGCAUAUCCUUUGGUGUAAGCUACCAAAUGGCCUAUGGGUUAAAUUCCUAAUAUUCCUAAUUCUAGUGGUCUUUUUUUUUUUUUUUUCGUGAGAAAGAUUGGCCCGGAGCUACGAUCUGUUCCCAGUCUUCUGCUGUUUCCUUCAAGAAGAUUGUCACUGAGCUAACAUCUGUGCCAGUCUUCCUCUACUUUGAAUGUGGAACCCCACCGUAGCAUGGCUUGAUGAGCCAUGUGUAGGCGGCCCAGUGUUUCGUUAGUUCGAAUCCUGGGCGCGGACAUGGCACUGCUCAUCAAACCACGCUGAGGCAGCGUCCCACAUGCCACAACUAGAAGGACCCACAACAAAGAAUACACAACUAUGUACCGGGGGGCUUUGGGGAGAAAAAGGAAAAAAUAAAAUCUUUAAAAAAAAAAAAAACUGUGCAUUUAUUAGAAAUGUAAAAGAAAUAUUUUUCUGAUGAACAUGUGCUUGUCAGUUUAAAAUGUUAUGGAAUCUGAGUAAAUGUUAGAAGUCCCCGUUUCUCCCCCUUGUUUACUCACUGCCAUUUCUUAUUUAAUUGAUUGUAGAGAACGUAAUAAAAAGUUGGAUUUCUUCAGUAGUAUUUGAAUACGUUCUGAAAUUCAACUCCAACUAUCUUCUGUCAAGUUUGAAGAUUUGAUCUCUCUCCUCAUAAUUAUUUGCUAAGCAUUUGGCAUAAAUUAUUUAACUUCUCUCUGUUUCAUUUUAUCUUUCUCAUUUCAUUGAUUCAGAAUAGUAGAGUUUUAUGGUGCCAAACAAAUGUCUCCUGUACACUUUAGUAAUUGAAAAUUGUUGGUUAAAGUGGGGAAUCUGUGAUAUACGAGAGUUUUACCUUUUAGAUCUAUUCAUUUCAGUUUUUUAAAAAAGUGAUUCUACUUUUUGAUAAAGGUUAAAGUGUUAUUCAGUGCCAAAUGUUAUGCAAAAUUAUAGUAAGUGACUAUUUGAUCUCUUUUCAUUGUUAAUGGCUUAAUAUUGAGAUUUUUCUUAAAACUAGAAAUAUGCUAGCAUCAAAAUCUGGAUUCAAGUGAAAGGUGGUUUUCUUUAACUUUUAGUUCUUCACAAAGCUACCAGUACAGUAUGAAACCAACAGCAGUUUCACAUGUAGGAUUUUUAUAUGUAUAUAAAUUAGAAUUACUUUUUAAUAUCGGCCUUAGCUUCCUUAAUGUUAUGAAAAGAACCAGUCCCGAGGGUGUUUUUAUAAUGUAAUACACGCUAUUCCUGUGAGGCUGAGCAGAGCUGCUGCAGGAAUCCGAACCCUGGCCGCAGAAGCUGCCCAGCUGCUCAGCUGCUGUCCUGGGACUGACCGGAUGCACUCACAGCUAGUUCACAAGCUCAGACCUUCCCUAGCUUAUUUCACAGUGAGUCUUUAAGGACCAUUGAACUAUGUGUUCAGUAUUUGUCCUACUGUCUAAAAAUAUUGAAAAACAGGGUUUGCACUGUUUGUUUUGUUUUUUAAAAGUGGUGUGAGAACUCCCCUUUGCUGCUUGUUCUUCGUGCACAUUCUAUAAGAGCUCAAAGUCCCCAGGAAAAAAAGGAUUUUUGUAAAGUUUCUUUGAUUGAAAAAGUCUGACACGUCCUUGAAGGUAUACAGUUGCCUUAAUUUUGACAUUAUAAGUUAUCUGUGAAAAUUACUGUUUUGGGUAUCGUAUUUAUAUUUAACAAUCACUUGCUUAAAAUUAUCUCCUGUAUGUAGUCAGUAGCCCCUAAAGAUUCCGUAUUAACCAGAAUGCUGCGUUACUUUCGAGUAAAGAUAUGAGUAUGAAUGAGAAACAGCUGGGGGACUGGGUAUUAGCAAAUCCUUCAUUUUCAGCCAACUUUCUAAAUCUUUGGUCAUUCACUCCGUAAUAUUUAGAGUAAAAUGUGCAAGUGCCUCUUUGUUCUCUUCACAUUCACAUGCCACAGCCUUUCUUUCUGUUACACUCGAAAUUGUUAAUGGUGUUGAUCCUUCCAAACUCUUGUGUUUUUACACACAUAUACUCUGCUAAUAUGGGUGGGAUUUUUAAUAUCAUGAGAUCAUACUAUAUCUCUCUUGUCCUUUUCUUCAUUGCGUUUUGGGGAACUUGCCGUAUCUGUACACCACAUAUUUUUUUAAUUCCAUAUAUAAAUGUACCAUAUGGUAUUUACUUCUCUAUUAGUAGAUCUUUAGGUUGCUCCAAUAUUUUACUAUUAUAGGCAGUCCUGCAAAAUACAAAUAUUUUGAUGCAUAGAUGUAACUAAUUGUACAAGACAGUGUGUAAAGGUGUAAUUGCUGUGUCAAGGAACACGUCUAUUUAAAAUACUUAUAGAUACUGCUAAGUUAAUCUCCAGAGAGUCUGCCAGUUUACAUUUUCUUUAACAGUGUGAGAGAGCACCUGUUUCCUCACAUCUUUGCCAGGGCGUUAUCCAUCUUGUUCAUUUUUGCUGAUCUAAUGGUUGCAAAGUAGUAUCUCUUUUUUAAUUGCAUUUCCUUGUCUAAAGGAGAAGUUGUCUUUUUAUAUCUUUCUUGGCUUUUUUCUUUCAUUUUUAUUUUUUUUGAUUGCAUAUUCAAAUUCUUUGCCCAUAUUUCUUUUGUUAAUUUGUUCUUAUUGCUUUCUAGGAACUCUAUAUACUUUGGACAUUUUUUCUUUCUAUGUUAUAUGUGUUGCAAAUAUUUCCUUCUCAGAUUUUUUUUAGUCUUUUUUUUUGAGGAUUAGCCCUGAGCUGACAUCUGCCACCAAUCCUCCUCUUUUUUGCUGAGGAAGACUGGCCCUGAGCUAACAUCUGUGCCCAUCUUCCUUUACUUUAUAUGUGGGACACCUGUCAUGGCAUGACCUGACAAGCAGUGCGUAGGUCCACACCUGGGAUCCAGACCAGCGAACUCCGGGCCACCAAAGUGGAACGUGCAAACUUAACCGCUGUGCCACCGGGCCAGCCCCCGUCAUGUGUUUUUUAACUAUUUAAAACUGUUAUGUAAUCUUCUGUGGCUUCUGGGUCUUGUUGUCUUUCUUAGGAAGGCCCCUUCCACAAACCUCAAUAUUAUACAUUAUGCUAAAUAUAUUAUCUUUUCAUCUUUUAAAACUAUUUCAUCAAAACUAAGAAAUGCCAUUGAUUAUAUGACACCAGGAUUUGAUAUACUGAGAAAGAAGAAAAACAAAUCUUGAGAAACGGAUAGAGUGCUUUUUUUCUCAUCAUUUCAAAUUUAUUUUAUAGCUACUUAAAGAUCUCUUUUAGACAUUUAUUCAGACCAGUUUUUUUAAAUUGUAAAACUUAUAUAAAAAGGGAAAAUCUGUUCUGUCAAUUCUUCAUCUUUGCAUUAACAAUCCUUAGUCUUUGGGUGGUGGACACCCUGAAUUUGUUCCUCUGAAUUUGUCACUCAUUUAAACACAUCUUUAUUACUCUCCAAGUAUUCAUAAAUACCGCAGUGUAUAUGAAACACCUGUUAUGGCACAGAUACUUAUCUAGGUACUUUCAUAUAUGUUCUCAUCUAACCCUAGCAGCAACUCUACAGUUGAGGAAACUGGGACUCAGAAAAGUUUCAAGUUGCUUGUAAUCACAGAGCAGUUAAAGUGAUGGAGAUCCCUCGCUUCAGAGGUAGUAUCAAUCUAGAGUGGAACAUCUCUAAUUUUUUACAAGCGUGUGAUUCCGAUUUUCAUACCUUUUCAGAACCAGUGUAUGCUGUGCUGCCAAAUAAAAGUUCACUUUUGUCCUUAUCUUACUGAUAAGUUUGCAGAUAUUUUUUACCCUCUGUCAAUUGUCAUAUUGUUAUAGUUCUAGAGUCAGUAGGAUUUAUAAUUGGAUCUUCACUUUAAAGUGGGAAAUAAAUGCAGUGAUACCAAGAAAAUUCCCUAACUGUUCUUUCCAUUUAUAUGUUAAGCCUAAACCAGAACAAGAGAUUAUAGUUGCACACUACCUAGAGCAAAGUUCUCGACGUUAGAAUCCUCGUCCGUCUUAAUAGUUGUCCACCUUCAACCUGUAGAGGAAAGUGUGUUUUCAAAACUGCGUAAACGAUAAGAAUGAUAGAGUUUUUAUUAUGACCCUAAGGAAGUCAUUCAGACUUUUUUAUUUUCUCACACGCAUUCAGACUCUUAGCUUCAAACUGAAUAUUGUACUGUUUGCUUAUGUAUUAAAAAAUGAUUGAACAUAUCUCGAGCAACUCGGACAAGACAGAGAAGACUCCACAGGGUUGACAUUAGAGAAAGCUAUUCAGAGUAGGAAACUUAAUGUGGCCGUGCCAUACGGGGAUGUUGUAACCCUAAGAGUUAGAGGAGUACUCUGGGUAGGCCAGAGCACAAGUCUUUUCUAAAGUUGUGUUGGCUGUCCUGGGGUUUGAAUUCAUGCCUUGUAUUUCUUUCUAUGUGUGACAAGUUCAGUAUGUAAGAAGCAGUGUUCAUAAGAGUUGGCAAACCUGUUUUACUUGUUUCUCAAGCUUUUCAGAUCAUUGCUUAUAAACCAGAUAUUUAUAGUAAAUAUCUUGUUUGAAAUGUAGACUAACCCUAUUAAAUAGUGUGUCCUUGUGCUGUGCUCAUUUAAUGAGUUCACCCUCUGGUGCGUUGGCAUGUGAUUUGAAGUAGCUCUCAGUGCCACUGGAGUGUUUGAAGGAGUUAAAGGGAAAAGCAGGAAGAGAAUAACAUUUUUGGGGAAAAGUGAUCAUACAACAGAUAGGCCCUUGGGAGAAUAAAGGAUGUAGUCUAUUAUGUGACCUUUGGCUAAUUCCUGAAGCAUGCUGACCUCAUAUUCCUUGUAUGUAAAUGACAACAUUAUAGCGUUAAAAGUCUCUUUACCUCCGCGAGUCCAUCCAGCGAUCUCUUCUUGUGUGUUUGUGUGUGUCAGUCGAGCACAAUAUUUAGCAAAGUGUGUUCUAGGUUAAACCACCUGGACUUGUCUGUAAAAUGGGGUUUCCCGUCUCCUAAAUUGUAAUGAGAAUUUAAUUAGGUAACACAGAUAAAUUACUUAGCACACUGCCUGGCACAUACCAAGCACUCCGGAAAUAUCCCCAUUCUUCAAAGCUCAGCUCAGAUGUCAGGUCAGUAGUGUCUGGAUCCUGGACCUUCUGGGUAAAACUGGCCUCUUCUUUGUGCCAUGAACAUGCCUUGUACUCACUUCUAAUUUAGCACUGUCACUUGUGCUAAAUUUAUCACUAACUUAUCUACACGUCUGCUUCCCCUCUUACAUUUUGAGCCGCUUGGGGACAGAGACAGGUUUAUUCAUCUUCUUAAAUUCAGUGUUAGGCGUGUUAAAUUUUUGUUGAAUAAACUUGUAUUCUUGUUUUUAAAUAGGAUCCCCUCCCCCGCUCAAUGGAAGAUAAUCCUAGAGCAAACGUGACAAGUAGGAAUGUUCUCAAACCACUUUUUUUUUUUUGACAGCUGUGCAAUUGCCAUUGUACUCCUAAGGAUUAGAUCAUUUUUUACUUUACUUCUUCACAGUGUUUUUCUUUUAAUAAGAAAAUUAAGAAAGUGACUGCCAGUUGGAGAAAAUGGUCCUAUAAAUAUAAAUGAAAGUGCACUGAUGAGAAAUUUUAUAAAGCCAUCAUAAUGGCGCUAUAAAAAUGUUGAUCUUGGAACCAAAGCCCUGGGUUCGUGUCAUAGCACUGCUACUUUCUGGCCAUAUGACAAUGAUCGAACUGUUUUGUCCCUCCGACUCUACAAAGUGGGCAUGACAUCCAUUUCAUGUUACAUGUUGUAACAGUAAGGAAAAAUAGGCUGUUUGGGGAAGGGUUGGAGAGUGCUGUGAGGGUGCUCUGGAUAGACCAGAGCACAAGUCUUCCCUAAAGUUGUGACAGUGAUUGAUGUGAGAGAUUCCUAAAGUACUAGCACGGUGCCUGCUUAACGGAAGACACACAACUCAUCUUUAAUGGAGUUAGUAUCAGGUGAUAAUAUACCCUUUAAAAUUGAGAAAAGCCAACUUAUUUUACCAUACACACACUUGUUUACUGUUAGAAAUAUUGUUGUUUAAAUUAGUUGUACCCUUGCUUAGGUGUUGAAAACAGAACUAAAAUGUUAAAUGAUGACCACCUGAUUUUACUUCCAUCAUGCUAAUGUUGUAGGGAAGAGUAAACAGAGAUCAAAUGGCAAAAGCAUACUCAAGAAUUAAGUUGCGUAAUUAAAGGUUUACUAUUUUCUUAACACAAGAAGGCAGGUCUCUACUUCAUCCUACUUUCCUGUAGUCAAUCACUGAUAGGGGCUGGCCCUGUGGCCGAGUGGUUAAGUUCACACGCCCUGCUUUGGUGGCCUGGGGUUUGCCAGUUCAGAUCCUGGGCAUGGACCUAGCACCCCUCAUCAAGCCAUGCUGUGGUGGCAUCCCACACAGAAGAACUACAAGGACUUACAACUAGAAUACACAAGUAUGUACUGGGGCUUUGGGGAGAAGAAAAAUCACUGAUAACUGGAGAUACGGACUGAAAACAUUGGAGCCAUCUAGGUCUUCAUUGAUUGCAUUCUUUUAUGAAAGGUGGAAGUGUAGAGAGAAUUAGUCUCAAUAUAGUCAUACGCCAUCUAACAACGUUUCAGUCAAUGACAAACUGUGUAUAGGAUGGUGGUCCCAUAAGAUUAGUACCAUAAUAGCCUAGGUGCAUAGUAGGUUAUACCAUCUAGGUUUGUGUAAGUGCACUCUAUGACAUUUACCCAACAACAAAAUCGCCUAAUGACAUAUUUCUCAGAACGUAUCCCUGUCAUUAAGCAACAUAUGACUGUACUGCUAAUACAAAU
This is a long non-coding RNA of Equus asinus (donkey), 8411 nucleotides long. NCBI's taxonomy places the organism in Eukaryota, Metazoa, Chordata, Mammalia, Perissodactyla, Equidae. The record is from Ensembl.